RNAcentral lists this unclassified non-coding RNA (691 nucleotides) under Hevea brasiliensis (rubber tree). The record is from RNAcentral. Lineage: Eukaryota; Viridiplantae; Streptophyta; Magnoliopsida; Malpighiales; Euphorbiaceae.
ACUUCAGUCAAUUCAAUACCUCGGGUACUAUCUACUUAUCCUAUUGUUUAGAUUCGUGAAGUCAUUGGACCAGUAGUCCAAUGAGUGCCUGUCUGAUAAUGCCAUAUUAGGGAGUCGAGCACCUUCUUCCCCUUACUGAACUUAAAAAAAAGUUUUUCUCCAUGAUACAGUCAACGAUUUUUGCUUAUGUUCCUUUUUUAAAGUGACAGGGAAGUUUCAUGAAUCUACAAUCUCAUAAGAAAAUGACCAUCAUCUCAACGUAGAAAGGAUUUACAUGGGAUAAAAUGGAAGGAUAAAGCAGUUAAAUAUUAGUUAAGUUUGGAAACUUGAUUAUCUGUGGUUUAUUGAACAGUUUUGCGAUACAUGGACUGUCUACUAAAGGAUUUUAAUAUUAGUAGUAAUACUUUGGAACCUAAUGCCCAUCUAAUGUUAAGAAAAGUAAGAAAAAAACAGAUGAAUUAUUUCAAUUAAAAGGAAAUAAUAGGAAUAGGAAAGGAGGUAGAGAAGUAGUUGUAUUCACAUUUUAUAGCUUUUAAAUUUUGUUUGCAGGAUAAUAGAGCGGCACCAAUGUUCCUUGAUGUUUUUGUGGCAUAAAUCUCUCUCAACUUUAUAUAUUCAUGGUCUGGUCUUUAGUAUGUGCCAUUAACUUUUUUCCCCACCUUAAUCAGAAAUGAUAAUUUCAGUGGUGAUG